This 154-nucleotide ribosomal RNA is filed under the name uncultured bacterium. RNAcentral describes it as "partial 16S ribosomal RNA". It matches the Rfam family "Bacterial small subunit ribosomal RNA", at positions 355 to 507 of the family's 1533-position model. The record is from RNAcentral.
UAGGGAAUAUUGGUCAAUGGAUGCAAGUCUGAACCAGCCAUGCCGCGUGCAGGAAGAAGGCCUUCUGGGUUGUAGACUGCUUUUAUCUGGGGAUAAAAAGGGGGUGCGCCCCCAACUGAAGGUACCAGAUGAAUAAGCCACGGCUAACUACGUG